RNAcentral lists this ribosomal RNA (427 nucleotides) under uncultured bacterium. Its description in RNAcentral is "partial 16S ribosomal RNA". It matches the Rfam family "Bacterial small subunit ribosomal RNA", at positions 354 to 795 of the family's 1533-position model. The record is from RNAcentral.
GUGGGGAAUAUUGGGCAAUGGGCGCAAGCCUGACCCAGCAACGCCGCGUGAAGGAAGAAGGCUUUCGGGUUGUAAACUUCUUUUACCAGGGACGAAACAAAUGACGGUACCUGGUGAAUAAGCCACGGCUAACUACGUGCCAGCAGCCGCGGUAAUACGUAGGUGGUGAGCGUUAUCCGGAUUUAUUGGGUGUAAAGGGCGUGUAGGCGGGACAGCAAGUCAGAUGUGAAAACCAGAGGCUCAACCUCUGGCCUGCAUUUGAAACUGUUGUUCUUGAGUGUCGGAGAGGUAAUCGGAAUUCCGUGUGUAGCGGUGAAAUGCGUAGAUAUACGGAGGAACACCAGUGGCGAAGGCGGAUUACUGGACGAUAACUGACGCUGAGGCGCGAAAGCGUGGGGAGCAAACAGGAUUAGAUACCCGGGUAGCC